GAUGAACGCUAGCUACAGGCUUAACACAUGCAAGUCGAGGGGCAGCAUGGGCUUAGCUUGCUAAGCCCGAUGGCGACCGGCGCACGGGUGAGUAACACGUAUCCAACCUUCCGGUAACUCCGGUAUAGCCUUUCGAAAGAAAGAUUAAUCCCGGAUAGCAUAAUGAUUCCGCAUGGUUUCAUUAUUAAAGGAUUCCGGUAAAGGAUGGGGAUGCGUUCCAUUAGGUUGUUGGUGAGGUAACGGCCCACCAAGCCUUCGAUGGAUAGGGGUUCUGAGAGGAAGGUCCCCCACAUUGGAACUGAGACACGGUCCAA
This 314-nucleotide ribosomal RNA is filed under the name uncultured bacterium. RNAcentral's name for it is "bacterial SSU rRNA". It matches the Rfam family "Bacterial small subunit ribosomal RNA", at positions 28 to 334 of the family's 1533-position model. The record is from RNAcentral.